AUCACAGCCUGUGACACCCACAUGACUAGGAGGAGGCAGAAAGUGAAUAGGGAGCUCUUAUUACUUUUUGAGUGUCAGCAAGUUAAGACAUCAUCUCCAGAAAACUGUGCUAGUUGGCAUCCAGCAGUGCCCAAGUAUUAUUUAACCCACUAGAACCUGUGACUGCAUCAGCUUUAUAUCCUGGACCUCAGCCUGGAACAAAGGAGAGCUACACUUGGAUACUAAACACAAGUGGUCUGGAUAGAUUAUGCUGGGAAAAGAAGCCUGGAGCAGGCAGUACAGUGGGAGAACAAGACAGAAGUGCUUGCCUUGGUGAUCCAAAAAAGGCAGGAUCCGGCCGGGGGCAAGGUGAUUAUUCUGUCUGAUGAGGAGAAUAAGAGCCAGUUUGUGGUAUUGACAGAAGAAUGAAAGUAAAGUCUUGAAAGAUGGGAAGAUCAGGAGCAGUCUGGAGUCAUGGUAUAUGAAUGAACUAGUGAGAGUGGGCACAAAGUCUGAAGAUCUUUGUAGUGCAGCUAAUGUCUAAGGGAGAAUAUACCUACCCUAGAAGAGACAUUAAACAACCAGUUCAACCAAUCUACAAAGGCCAAAAAUAUUUUCACAGGCCCCCAAAAGAUGAACUCCAAUCUGCUGCCCCUAAACGCAUUCUCCACUGUCUGGAAGAUGUGCAAAGGCAACGGCACAGCGUUCUCCAUCUCAAAUCCUUCAAAGUGCUGUCAGAAUAAAA
Molecule: long non-coding RNA, 724 nt
Filed under: Homo sapiens (human)
Lineage: Eukaryota; Metazoa; Chordata; Mammalia; Primates; Hominidae
Description: non-protein coding LINC01013:5
Source: RNAcentral